GGGCAGCAUGGUCUUAGCUUGCUAAGGCCGAUGGCGACCGGCGCACGGGUGAGUAACACGUAUCCAACCUGCCGUCUACUCUUGGACAGCCUUCUGAAAGGAAGAUUAAUACAAGAUGGCAUCAUGAGUUCACAUGUUCACAUGAUUAAAGGUAUUCCGGUAGACGAUGGGGAUGCGUCCAUUAGAUAGUAGGCGGGGUAACGGCCCACCUAGUCUUCGAUGGAUAGGGGUUCUGAGAGGAAGGUCCCCCACAUUGGAACUGAGACACGGUCCAAACUCCUACGGGAGGCAGCAGUGAGGAAUAUUGGUCAAUGGGCGAGAGCCUGAACCAGCCAAGUAGCGUGAAGGAUGACUGCCCUAUGGGUUGUAAACUUCUUUUAUAAAGGAAUAAAGUCGGGUAUGUAUACCCGUUUGCAUGUACUUUAUGAAUAAGGAUCGGCUAACUCCGUGCCAGCAGCCGCGGUAAUACGGAGGAUCCGAGCGUUAUCCGGAUUUAUUGGGUUUAAAGGGAGCGUAGAUGGAUGUUUAAGUCAGUUGUGAAAGUUUGCGGCUCAACCGUAAAAUUGCAGUUGAUACUGGAUAUCUUGAGUGCAGUUGAGGCAGGCGGAAUUCGUGGUGUAGCGGUGAAAUGCUUAGAUAUCACGAAGAACUCCGAUUGCGAAGGCAGCCUGCUAAGCUGCAACUGACAU
RNAcentral lists this ribosomal RNA (689 nucleotides) under uncultured Bacteroidales bacterium. RNAcentral describes it as "bacterial SSU rRNA". It matches the Rfam family "Bacterial small subunit ribosomal RNA", at positions 67 to 746 of the family's 1533-position model. The record is from RNAcentral. Lineage: Bacteria; Pseudomonadati; Bacteroidota; Bacteroidia; Bacteroidales.